GGCUCAGAUUGAACGCUGGCGGCAGGCCUAACACAUGCAAGUCGAGCGGUAGAGAGGUGCUUGCAUCUCUUGAGAGCGGCGGACGGGUGAGUAAUGCCUAGGAAUCUGCCUAGUGGUGGGGGGAUAACGUUCGGAAACGGACGCUAAUACCGCAUACGGUCCUACGGGAGAAAGCGGGGGGAUCUUCGGACCUCGCGCCAUUAGAUGAGCCUAGGUCGGAUUAGCUAGUUGGUGAGGUAAUGGCUCACCUAGGCGACGAUCCGUAACUGGUCUGAGAGGAUGAUCAGUCACACUGGAACUGAGACACGGUCCAGACUCCUACGGGAGGCAGCAGUGGGGAAUAUUGGACAAUGGGCGAAAGCCUGAUCCAGCCAUGCCGCGUGUGUGAAGAAGGUCUUCGGAUUGUAAAGCACUUUAAGUUGGGAGGAAGGGUAGUAACCUAAUACGUUGCUACUUUGACGUUACCGACAGAAUAAGCACCGGCUAACUUCGUG
This 494-nucleotide ribosomal RNA is filed under the name uncultured bacterium. RNAcentral's name for it is "bacterial SSU rRNA". It matches the Rfam family "Bacterial small subunit ribosomal RNA", at positions 21 to 507 of the family's 1533-position model. The record is from RNAcentral.